RNAcentral lists this ribosomal RNA (373 nucleotides) under Pediococcus acidilactici. RNAcentral describes it as "bacterial SSU rRNA". It matches the Rfam family "Bacterial small subunit ribosomal RNA", at positions 89 to 456 of the family's 1533-position model. The record is from RNAcentral. Lineage: Bacteria; Bacillati; Bacillota; Bacilli; Lactobacillales; Lactobacillaceae.
AAGUGAGUGGCGGACGGGUGAGUAACACGUGGGUAACCUGCCCAGAAGCAGGGGAUAACACCUGGAAACAGAUGCUAAUACCGUAUAACAGAGAAAACCGCCUGGUUUUCUUUUAAAAGAUGGCUCUGCUAUCACUUCUGGAUGGACCCGCGGCGCAUUAGCUAGUUGGUGAGGUAACGGCUCACCAAGGCGAUGAUGCGUAGCCGACCUGAGAGGGUAAUCGGCCACAUUGGGACUGAGACACGGCCCAGACUCCUACGGGAGGCAGCAGUAGGGAAUCUUCCACAAUGGACGCAAGUCUGAUGGAGCAACGCCGCGUGAGUGAAGAAGGGUUUCGGCUCGUAAAGCUCUGUUGUUAAAGAAGAACGUGGGU